Molecule: long non-coding RNA, 869 nt
Filed under: Sorghum bicolor (sorghum)
Lineage: Eukaryota; Viridiplantae; Streptophyta; Magnoliopsida; Poales; Poaceae
Description: long non-coding RNA (SBIC_LNC013367)
Source: RNAcentral
ACUCUUGUGCAUAGUGUCUUAUUUUGUUUUUUUAUUGGGUUAUGUAGUAAACUUUGGCACAUUGAAUAUCAAAAACGAAGUGAAUAACUGUUAAAAGGCUUGUUUCGAAACAAUAUUGGGGAUUUAAGUUGUACUUCCUCUGUCCUUGAAUAAAUUGAUUUAUAGAGUUGUCUUAGGUCAAUUUUUUUAAAAACUUUGACUGAUUUUUUAGAAAAAUUAAUACUUAUAAUAUCAUAUUAGUAUCAUUAGAUUUAUCAUAAAAUAUAUUUUCAUAAAGUGCUCAUUUUGUGAUAUAUAUAUAUAUAUUAUUAUUAUUUUUAUAUAAAGUUAAUCAAAUUUUAAAAAAGUUCAACUGGCAUAAAUUGUAGGAAAUGAUUUUUUUUAGGGAUAGAAGGAGCACUCGGUGCAAAUUAAUUGGGAUCCAAUACCUAGACUUCAUUAGAAAUGAAUCUCUGCGUCCAAAUUAAUUAAACUCCAAACUGGCCGGGCAAAUAGUUUACAGCAGUGCAAAGCAGCAAAGGUCAAACCAAACAAGAAACACAACACAAGGACUUGGUCAACAAGUACGGUCAGGGACCAAUGAGGAACACCAAAAAAAAGAAAAAAAAACACACAAAACUAAUGGGAGGCAGAGCCACCACUGGUAGCCACAAUUAGUAGCUCGUCAUCUUGAGCAACUGCGCGCUCAUCCGGCGGCGAACCCUGGUGAUGUACAUGCCGGCGGCCCGGUCGAUCUCGUCCUCGAUCCUGAACUCCUGCCCGUCUCCCUCCCGGCGCCUCCGGAUGACGUCGAGCACCGACGACGUCUCAUCGUCAUCGACGACGACGAGCCCAUCCAUUGCGGCCGCCAAACAAUCAUCACCGCCGCC